RNAcentral lists this ribosomal RNA (468 nucleotides) under uncultured bacterium. Its description in RNAcentral is "partial 16S ribosomal RNA". It matches the Rfam family "Bacterial small subunit ribosomal RNA", at positions 28 to 507 of the family's 1533-position model. The record is from RNAcentral.
GACGAACGCUGGCGGCGUGCUUAACACAUGCAAGUCGAACGGAGAGGCCCUGCGCUUGUGGGGUGCUCGAGUGGCGAACACGUGUGUAACACGCGUGUAACCUGCCCUCGACUUUCUGAUAUCUUCAGGAAACUGGAGCUAUUACCGGAUAGGCGCUCCUGCUGCACGGUGUGGGUUGGAGGGUUGCGCCGGUUGGGGAUGGGCUCGCGGCUUAUCAGCUUGUUGGUGGGGUAGUGGCUUACCAAGGCUCUGACGGGUAGCCGGCCUGAGAGGGUGACCGGCCACAUUGGGACUGAGAUACGGCCCAGACUCCUACGGGAGGCAGCAGUGGGGAAUAUUGCACAAUGGGCGGAAGCCUGAUGCAGCAACGCCGCGUGCGGGAUGACGGCCUUCGGGUUGUAAACCGCUUUCGCCAGGGACGAAGCGUGAGUGACGGUAACGGCUGAAGAAGCACCGGCUAACUACGUG